This 497-nucleotide ribosomal RNA is filed under the name uncultured bacterium. RNAcentral describes it as "partial 16S ribosomal RNA". It matches the Rfam family "Bacterial small subunit ribosomal RNA", at positions 28 to 507 of the family's 1533-position model. The record is from RNAcentral.
GAUGAACGCUGGCGGCGUGCCUAAUACAUGCAAGUCGAGCGGACGGACGAGAAGCUUGCUUCUCUGACGUUAGCGGCGGGCGGGUGAGUAACACGUGGAUAACCUACCUAUCAGACUGGGAUAACUUCGAGAAACCGUAGCUAAUACCGGAUAAUAUUUUGCUCCGCAUGGUUCAAUAGUGAGAGACGGUCUUGCGGUAACUUCUAGAUGGAUCCGAGCUGCAUUAGCUAGUUGGUAAGGUAACGGCUUACCAAGGCUACGAUGCAUAGCCGACCUGAGAGGGUGAUCGGCGACACUGGAACUGAGACACGGUCCAGACUCCUACGGGAGGCAGCAGUAGGGAAUCUUCCGCAAUGGGCGAAAGCCUGACGGAGCAACGCCGCGUGAGUGAUGAAGGUCUUCGGAUCGUAAAACUCUGUUAUUAGGGAAGAACAUAUGUGUAAGUAACUGUGCACAUCGUGACGGUACCUAAUCAGAAAGCCACGGCUAACUACGUG